RNAcentral lists this transfer RNA (74 nucleotides) under Marmota monax (woodchuck). It matches the Rfam family "tRNA". From Rfam's summary of the family: Transfer RNA (tRNA) molecules are approximately 80 nucleotides in length. Their secondary structure includes four short double-helical elements and three loops (D, anti-codon, and T loops). The record is from Rfam by way of RNAcentral. Lineage: Eukaryota; Metazoa; Chordata; Mammalia; Rodentia; Sciuridae.
GGGGAUGUAGCUCAAUUGGUAGAGUGCUUGCCUUGUAUGCAAAAAAACCCUGGGUUCAAUUCCCAGCACCCCCA